This 229-nucleotide ribosomal RNA is filed under the name Staphylococcus aureus. RNAcentral's name for it is "partial 23S ribosomal RNA". It matches the Rfam family "Bacterial large subunit ribosomal RNA", at positions 1 to 227 of the family's 2925-position model. Lineage: Bacteria; Bacillati; Bacillota; Bacilli; Caryophanales; Staphylococcaceae. The record is from RNAcentral.
GAUUAAGUUAUUAAGGGCGCACGGUGGAUGCCUUGGCACUAGAAGCCGAUGAAGGACGUUACUAACGACGAUAUGCUUUGGGGAGCUGUAAGUAAGCUUUGAUCCAGAGAUUUCCGAAUGGGGAAACCCAGCAUGAGUUAUGUCAUGUUAUCGAUAUGUGAAUACAUAGCAUAUCAGAAGGCACACCCGGAGAACUGAAACAUCUUAGUACCCGGAGGAAGAGAAAGAA